AGAGAUCAGACGCUGUUACUGUCACAGUUCAUCCUGGAGCUGAUAGGAAUGUGAUUGUGAUCGCAGCAACAUCUGGAGGAUUAUUCAUCAUCAUCAUCAUCAUCAUCAUCAUCAUCAUAUGGUUUAUAAUGAAACAAAGGUGUGUUAAAACUGAAGAUAACAGAGUGAAACAGGUAAAACAUUCAAACACAACUUUACAGAAGCAGAAAAUCAAUCCAUC
Long non-coding RNA from Cyprinus carpio (common carp), 220 nucleotides. RefSeq lists it as uncharacterized. The record is from RefSeq and is a predicted model, not a curated record. Lineage: Eukaryota; Metazoa; Chordata; Actinopteri; Cypriniformes; Cyprinidae. The transcript is spliced from 3 exons.